AAGUUAUUGCGGUCAAAUUGGAAAACAGGGGAAAACCCUCAGAAAGUCAAAGCCCACAAUUCGACCAACUACCAUUUUACCAUAAGAAGGAUCUUGACGAUUUCGAAGCACAGCUUUUACAAAAGCCAGAGUUGUUGGAGAAAUUUAAACUAUAUAUUAAGAAGACGGGGGGUGAAGCGUCAACCCCUUUUCUAAGAGCAGCAAUCAGGCGUAUUUUUUCAGAUGAGUUGGCAAUGUCUUUUUCGUGGAGGGGCACGGCAGAUAAGCCAAGCGCGGAAAAAUGUUUAGUUACAACAAUAAUAAAAAAUAUUUGUCAUGAAAUGUUUCAAGUGGACGAAAAAGCCGUUAGAUCAACGCUACAAAAACAUUUCGUUUAUGCAAACGAAAGAGUAAAAAAACGCCGUCUACCUUUGUCUGAAAAUAAAUGAAUGUUUUGAGCUGUAAGGAAAAACAUGUUAAUGAAUUAAUUUAAAAUAUAAAUAAAUUUGAAUUUAAAAAUAAACCAAAAAAUGAAUAUUGAUUAAUAAGAUGACUGAAAACUGAUUGGAAAAAACAAUCGAAAUUUAUAAUAAAAUGACUGUAAAUUGACUAAAUAUUGACUGAAAAUUUACUAGAAAUUCAUUGAGAAAUGACUGGAAAAAACAAUCGAAAUUUAUAAUAAAAUGACUGAAAAUUUACUAGAAAAUCAUUGAGAAAUGACUGGAAAAAACAAUCGAAAUUUAUAAUAAAAUGACUGGAAAUUGACCCUGAAAAUGACUCAAUCAAAAUCAUUCAAUUUUGUUCGACCAUUUUCUCCCGAGGGAACAGUCAAUUUACAAUGAAUAUUGAUAUAGAAAUUGACUGUUUUCUAUCAAUUUUUCUAUUGAAAAUGAGUGAUUUUCCAUUAAAAAUUGAUAGUAAAUGCUGGCUGGGAUAC
Molecule: long non-coding RNA, 916 nt
Organism: Bactrocera dorsalis (oriental fruit fly)
Lineage: Eukaryota; Metazoa; Arthropoda; Insecta; Diptera; Tephritidae
Exons: 3
Source: RefSeq, a predicted model, not a curated record